Molecule: ribosomal RNA, 395 nt
Filed under: Ralstonia pickettii
Lineage: Bacteria; Pseudomonadati; Pseudomonadota; Betaproteobacteria; Burkholderiales; Burkholderiaceae
Description: bacterial SSU rRNA
Rfam family: Bacterial small subunit ribosomal RNA
Source: RNAcentral
CGGGGUAACAGGGGGUCAGCGUUAUCGGAUUACUGGGCGUAAGCGUGCGCAGGCGGUUGUGCAAGACCGAUGUGAAAUCCCCGAGCUUAACUUGGGAAUUGCAUUGGUGACUGCACGGCUAGAGUGUGUCAGAGGGGGGUAGAAUUCCACGUGUAGCAGUGAAAUGCGUAGAGAUGUGGAGGAAUACCGAUGGCGAAGGCAGCCCCCUGGGAUAACACUGACGCUCAUGCACGAAAGCGUGGGGAGCAAACAGGAUUAGAUACCCUGGUAGUCCACGCCCUAAACGAUGUCAACUAGUUGUUGGGGAUUCAUUUCCUUAGUAACGUAGCUAACGCGUGAAGUUGACCGCCUGGGGAGUACGGUCGCAAGAUUAAAACUCAAAGGAAUUGACGGGG